This 204-nucleotide ribosomal RNA is filed under the name Staphylococcus aureus. RNAcentral's name for it is "partial 16S ribosomal RNA". It matches the Rfam family "Bacterial small subunit ribosomal RNA", at positions 54 to 247 of the family's 1533-position model. Lineage: Bacteria; Bacillati; Bacillota; Bacilli; Caryophanales; Staphylococcaceae. The record is from RNAcentral.
CAUGCAAGUCGAGCGAACGGACGAGAAGCUUGCUUCUCUGAUGUUAGCGGCGGACGGGUGAGUAACACGUGGAUAACCUACCUAUAAGACUGGGAUAACUUCGGGAAACCGGAGCUAAUACCGGAUAAUAUUUUGAACCGCAUGGUUCAAAAGUGAAAGACGGUCUUGCUGUCACUUAUAGAUGGAUCCGCGCUGCAUUAGCUA